RNAcentral lists this ribosomal RNA (268 nucleotides) under uncultured bacterium. RNAcentral's name for it is "partial 16S ribosomal RNA". It matches the Rfam family "Bacterial small subunit ribosomal RNA", at positions 85 to 354 of the family's 1533-position model. The record is from RNAcentral.
UAAAAUCUUAGUGGCGACGGGUGAGUAACGCGUGGGUAACCUGCCUUACACUGGGGGAUAACACUUAGAAAUAGGUGCUAAUACCGCAUAAGCGCACGAAGCCGCAUGGAUUUGUGUGAAAAACUCCGGUGGUGUAAGAUGGACCCGCGUCUGAUUAGCUUGUUGGCGGGGUAACGGCCCACCAAGGCGACGAUCAGUAGCCGGCCUGAGAGGGUGGACGGCCACAUUGGGACUGAGACACGGCCCAAACUCCUACGGAAGGCAGCAG